Molecule: transfer RNA, 74 nt
Filed under: Patescibacteria group bacterium
Lineage: Bacteria
Description: tRNA-Thr
Rfam family: tRNA
About the family: Transfer RNA (tRNA) molecules are approximately 80 nucleotides in length. Their secondary structure includes four short double-helical elements and three loops (D, anti-codon, and T loops). Further hydrogen bonds mediate the characteristic L-shaped molecular structure. tRNAs have two regions of fundamental functional importance: the anti-codon, which is responsible for specific mRNA codon recognition, and the 3' end, to which the tRNAs corresponding amino acid is attached (by aminoacyl-tRNA synthetases). tRNAs cope with the degeneracy of the genetic code in two manners: having more than one tRNA (with a specific anti-codon) for a particular amino acid; and 'wobble' base-pairing, i.e. permitting non-standard base-pairing at the 3rd anti-codon position.
Source: RNAcentral
GCCUGGAUAGCUCAGAUGGUUAGAGCACAUCAUUGGUAAUGAUGAGGUCGGCGGUUCAAUUCCGCCUCCAGGCU